AAACAUGUCUUUUUGAAAAUAAUUUAAAGUCUAAUCUGCCCACUGAUNAAAUUAUUAAAGGGCUGCAGUAUUUUGACUGUACAAAGGUAGCAUAAUCAUUAGUCUCUUAAUUGGUGACUUGUAUGAAAGAUUGGAUGAAAUAUAUACUGUCUCUAUUUAAUUUAUAAAAUUUAAUUUUUUAGUAAAAAAGCUAAAAUGAAUUUAAAAGACGAGAAGACCCUAUAGAGUUUAAUAAUUUAUUUAAUUAUUAUUAAUGUAUAAAUUUUAAAAUUAAAAUUGAAUAAAUUAUUUUGUUGGGGUGAUAGAAAAAUUAAAUUAACUUUUUUUUUAUUUUAUACAUUAAUUUAUGAAUAAAUGAUCCAUUAAUAAUGAUUAAAAGAAAAAAUUACCUUAGGGAUAACAGCGUAAUUUUUUUUUUUAGUUCAAAUAGGAAAAAAAGUUUGCGACCUCGAUGUUGGAUUAAGAUAAAAAUUAAAUGCAAAAGUUUAAAAUUUUAAUCUGUUCGAUCAUUAAAAUCUUA
RNAcentral lists this ribosomal RNA (520 nucleotides) under Papilio syfanius. Its description in RNAcentral is "partial 16S ribosomal RNA". The stretch from base 396 to 520 matches the Rfam family "Bacterial large subunit ribosomal RNA", at positions 2473 to 2598 of the family's 2925-position model. The record is from RNAcentral. Lineage: Eukaryota; Metazoa; Arthropoda; Insecta; Lepidoptera; Papilionidae.